AGACCCGAAACCCGGUGAUCUAGCCAUGGGCAGGUUGAAGGUUGGGUAACACUAACUGGAGGACCGAACCGACUAAUGUUGAAAAAUUAGCGGAUGACCUGUGGCUGGGGGUGAAAGGCCAAUCAAACCGGGAGAUAGCUGGUUCUCCCCGAAAGCUAUUUAGGUAGCGCCUCGUGAAUUCAUCUCCGGGGGUAGAGCACUGUUUCGGCUAGGGGGCCAUCCCGGCUUACCAACCCGAUGCAAACUGCGAAUACCGGAGAAUGUUAUCACGGGAGACACACGGCGGGUGCUAACGUCCGUCGUGAAGAGGGAAACAACCCAGACCGCCAGCUAAGGUCCCAAAGUCAUGGUUAAGUGGGAAACGAUGUGGGAAGGCCCAGACAGCCAGGAUGUUGGCUUAGAAGCAGCCAUCAUUUAAAGAAAGCGUAAUAGCUCACUGGUCGAGUCGGCCUGCGCGGAAGAUGUAACGGGGCUAAACUAUGCACCGAAGCUGCGGCAGCGACACUAUGUGUUGUUGGGUAGGGGAGCGUUCUGUAAGCCUGUGAAGGUGUGUCGUGAGGC
This 561-nucleotide ribosomal RNA is filed under the name Salmonella enterica. RNAcentral's name for it is "partial 23S ribosomal RNA". It matches the Rfam family "Bacterial large subunit ribosomal RNA", at positions 711 to 1269 of the family's 2925-position model. The record is from RNAcentral. RNAcentral also lists the same sequence under 1 other name. Lineage: Bacteria; Pseudomonadati; Pseudomonadota; Gammaproteobacteria; Enterobacterales; Enterobacteriaceae.